RNAcentral lists this long non-coding RNA (1465 nucleotides) under Equus asinus (donkey). RNAcentral describes it as "lncRNA (ENSEASG00005025563.1)". The record is from RNAcentral. Lineage: Eukaryota; Metazoa; Chordata; Mammalia; Perissodactyla; Equidae.
CCGCGUGCCAGCCCCAGGCCAGGCCGGCAGCUAUUUUGGGGCCCCCUCUAGGCCCACACACAAGGCCUGCCAGUUGGGGUCUUGAAGGAGCUCCCAGAGGACAUCCUGCAAGGACAGAGAGCAACGGGUGCCCUCCUGGGCACUAGGACAGAGCUGGCACCAGGCCCCAGGGCCCGUGCCUUCCCAGGACAGACGGUGGCAUGUGAACACAUGCACACGGGCAGCCUGGGCAGGGCGUGUGGGCGAGUGGACAGGAAUGGGCCUGAAAGCAGGGAGUUGGUCUUCGUUAUGAGGCUCUGAGCCGUAUCCCCAGCCACCUCGCCUUUGGCCUGCAGACACCGCCGCAGACCCUGGCCUGCUCUCCGUGCUCAAGCCUGGCACCUUCCAGCCGUCCUCCAGAAAGGCCUGUGUCAUCCCAUCACAUGUGCCCUCCACCGUCCACUAAACAAAGUUCCUCCCUGGUCCCCACCUCGGCCACAAGGCCCCAGGUGUGGUCAGAUCGCCACUUCUCUCCAACCUGACUUUCACACUCGCCUGCUUGACUUGCGAGCAUCCUUCAAAUCCUAAGCGUCACCUCCUCCAGGAAGCCUUCCUUGCCUUCCACAUGACCCUCUGACUUGAGACUCCCCGGGAACCUGCACUCGUCUGCCUCCCCACUCAGACACUGCACGGACUGACUUGAUCAUUUGAGUCAAAUGAACAUUUCUUAAACGACACAAAGGUGACCCCUUGCCAGGCAGCAGGUCACUUCCCUGACAGAGGCCAGGUGGGGGCAUGUGCUGCCCACUCCACCCUGGUGCUGGUACCCACUCUGUUCCCCUCCCCACAGGGUCUGGGGCCCUGGGCGGCCCUUCGUGCAGCCUUCUGAGGGCUCCCAUGGGCAGCUUGGUGGGGACCUUCAUGGGGUCCUGGACAGUCCAAAGGGAGGGAGGUGAUGCUGGCUCCUGGGGAACCCUCUCCCUGGCCUCGGAGAGCCUGGCAGUCUGGGAGGGGGCCUGGCACAGCCUCUGGAGGGCACGGCCCUCCGUGGACAACCCCCAAGGAGCCAUGGGGCCCCUACCGCACCCUUACACCUCCUGGCCACCUCCAGCUGGACUGUCACCCCCACGCUGGAGACUCCCACAGACAGGACCGCCACCAGGAGGGGGCAUGUCUGGCUGGGAGGGGCCCGGGAGCCUAAGUCACCCUGACUGGGUUCAAGCUUGGUGCUCUGCCUUCUCUGGCAAAGAAUUUUUCCUUUCUGGGACUCAGUUUCCCCAUCUGUAAAAUAGGAAUUCAUACCAGGGACCCAUGCGAGGGCUAUUGUGAACCUGAAAUGAGUCGAUAUACACAGGCACGUAGGCGGUAGAACAGCCUGAAACACGGAACGUGCUCCUAAGGGUGAGCUCCUCUGACUGCGGGGCGCGCGCGGGACGGCGAAAGCCAAAAUCCAGCCCCACAGCUCUCCGGACGCCCCCACCCCAGG